This 756-nucleotide long non-coding RNA is filed under the name Astyanax mexicanus (Mexican tetra). RNAcentral's name for it is "lncRNA (ENSAMXG00005007146.1)". Lineage: Eukaryota; Metazoa; Chordata; Actinopteri; Characiformes; Acestrorhamphidae. The record is from RNAcentral.
UGGAUUUAGUAGUCAGAUCUUCACCUGUCUGCCUGCAAUGUGAGCAAAUUUGUCCUUGAAACUGCAGGCAUACAAAAAAAAAAACAGCACUAAACUCAUAAAUACAGAAUAAAAAACAUUAUAUCUGAACCUUCACAGCCAUGAUUAAUGUCCAUAAAUUGGAGACAUAUCAGAUCUAAAAUCACAUAUGAAAAUGACCCAAAUCGUAUUUAAACAUCUUACUUUUAAUUUUUAUGACAACUCUUUAAAAUGUUAAGUAUAAAUUGUUAUAGUAAUUUUGAUUGUUUUGCCUUUUAAUUUCAUUUUUAAAACUUUGGCAAGUUUUUUGAUUACUAGUACAGUCAAUAGUGAUAGCCUAACUCAUACAUACCCUCAUUCUGCAUUUUUGGGUCUUACACACCAACAGUUAUUUUUUUAAACUCAGAAUUAAACAAGAUAAUGAAUUCUUAACCUGCUCUGUAGUUGAGGAUAAAAUGAGGUCAUGCCUUUUGCCAAAGACAGGGGGUGCUCUGCAGCAGAGAGCUGAGGGAUGGAGGGAUCAAGUGAAUCAAACCAGAGUGUCUUGUCCGCGCACACCAUCCAGACUGGAAGACAACUACUCAGUUAGAAGCUCCAGACUGGAGGACAACAUGGUUGAUGAACACACCCGGAAUUGGGCAGAACAGUCAUUAGGCAAAGUGCCCUCUAGAGGUGAGGAAGCUACACAGGGCAAGCAAUAGAUCUUAUAACACUGCAUUGGUGCUCCAAUUGUAUUUU